AGAGUUUGAUCCUGGCUCAGAUUGAACGCUGGCGGCAGGCCUAACACAUGCAAGUCGAGCGGAAACGAGUUAUCUGAACCUUCGGGGAACGAUAACGGCGUCGAGCGGCGGACGGGUGAGUAAUGCCUAGGAAAUUGCCUUGAUGUGGGGGAUAACCAUUGGAAACGAUGGCUAAUACCGCAUAAUGCCUACGGGCCAAAGAGGGGGACCUUCGGGCCUCUCGCGUCAAGAUAUGCCUAGGUGGGAUUAGCUAGUUGGUGAGGUAAUGGCUCACCAAGGCGACGAUCCCUAGCUGGUCUGAGAGGAUGAUCAGCCACACUGGAACUGAGACACGGUCCAGACUCCUACGGGAGGCAGCAGUGGGGAAUAUUGCACAAUGGGCGAAAGCCUGAUGCAGCCAUGCCGCGUGUAUGAAGAAGGCCUUCGGGUUGUAAAGUACUUUCAGUUGUGAGGAAGGGGGUGUCGUUAAUAGCGGCAUCUCUUGACGUUAGCAACAGAAGAAGCACCGGCUAACUCCGUGCCAGCAGCCGCGGUAAUACGGAGGGUGCGAGCGUUAAUCGGAAUUACUGGGCGUAAAGCGCAUGCA
This 586-nucleotide ribosomal RNA is filed under the name uncultured Vibrio sp. RNAcentral's name for it is "bacterial SSU rRNA". It matches the Rfam family "Bacterial small subunit ribosomal RNA", at positions 8 to 573 of the family's 1533-position model. Lineage: Bacteria; Pseudomonadati; Pseudomonadota; Gammaproteobacteria; Vibrionales; Vibrionaceae. The record is from RNAcentral.